CCGCCAUAUUUGUUGAUGGUGCGUUGAACAAAAUCGUAUAAAUCACGGAUAUGAAUCGUCAUUAAGAGAGCAAAAAUAUGUCUAGCAGAGCAACCAAAAGCUCCCAUGGGAGGCCUUUCUCCUCCAAUCGGACACAGAUUAAUACAGCAAAAACAUCCGUCUCUGGACAGAAGUACCCAGAGAUCAAACAAAGAGGGUUUUAUUCAGAUAUUUUGGGAACAGGUGCCCAAGAAAGAUUAGGGAAUGUAUUGCAAGGGCCUGAGACUGUGGAACAGGAUACUCUUUGGAAUGUUGCCAAAGAAAAACACACUCCAAAAGGUA
Lingula anatina is the source of this 321-nucleotide long non-coding RNA. NCBI's taxonomy places the organism in Eukaryota, Metazoa, Brachiopoda, Lingulata, Lingulida, Lingulidae. The record is from RefSeq and is a predicted model, not a curated record.